Molecule: ribosomal RNA, 238 nt
Filed under: uncultured bacterium
Lineage: Bacteria
Description: partial 16S ribosomal RNA
Rfam family: Bacterial small subunit ribosomal RNA
Source: RNAcentral
CGGCGGACGGGUGAGUAACGCGUGGGUAACCUACCCUGUACAUACGGAUAACAUACCGAAAGGUAUGCUAAUACGGGAUAAUAUAUUUGAGAGGCAUCUCUUGAAUAUCAAAGGUGAGCCAGUACAGGAUGGACCCGCGUCUGAUUAGCUAGUUGGUAAGGUAACGGCUUACCAAGGCGACGAUCAGUAGCCGACCUGAGAGGGUGAUCGGCCACAUUGGAACUGAGACACGGUCCAA